GAGUUUGAUCCUGGCUCAGAUUGAACGCUGGCGGCAGGCCUAACACAUGCAAGUCGAGCGGUAACAGGUCCAGCUUGCUGGAUGCUGACGAGCGGCGGACGGGUGAGUAAUGCAUAGGAAUCUGCCCGAUAGUGGGGGAUAACCUGGGGAAACCCAGGCUAAUACCGCAUACGUCCUACGGGAGAAAGGGGGCUCCGGCUCCCGCUAUGGGAUGAGCCUAUGUCGGAUUAGCUAGUUGGUGAGGUAACGGCUUACCAAGGCCACGAUCCGUAGCUGGUCUGAGAGGAUGAUCAGCCACAUCGGGACUGAGACACGGCCCGAACUCCUACGGGAGGCAGCAGUGGGGAAUAUUGGACAAUGGGGGAAACCCUGAUCCAGCCAUGCCGCGUGUGUGAAGAAGGCCCUCGGGUUGUAAAGCACUUUCAGCGAGGAAGAACGCCUAGCGGUUAAUACCCGCUAGGAAAGACAUCACUCGCAGAAGAAGCACCGGCUAACUCCGUGCCAGCAGCCGCGGUAAUACGGAGGGUGCAAGCGUUAAUCGGAAUUACUGGGCGUAAAGCGCGCGUAGGUGGCUUGAUAAGCCGGUUGUGAAAGCCCCGGGCUCAACCUGGGAACGGCAUCCGGAACUGUCAAGCUAGAGUGCAGGAGAGGAAGGUAGAAUUCCCGGUGUAGCGGUGAAAUGCGUAGAGAUCGGGAGGAAUACCAGUGGCGAAGGCGGCCUUCUGGACUGACACUGACACUGAGGUGCGAAAGCGUGGGUAGCAAACAGGAUUAGAUACCCUGGUAGUCCACGCCGUAAACGAUGUCGACCAGCCGUUGGGUGCCUAGCGCACUUUGUGGCGAAGUUAACGCGAUAAGUCGACCGCCUGGGGAGUACGGCCGCAAGGUUAAAACUCAAAUGAAUUGACGGGGGCCCGCACAAGCGGUGGAGCAUGUGGUUUAAUUCGAUGCAACGCGAAGAACCUUACCUACUCUUGACAUCCUGCGAAUUCGGUAGAGAUACCUUAGUGCCUUCGGGAACGCAGAGACAGGUGCUGCAUGGCUGUCGUCAGCUCGUGUUGUGAAAUGUUGGGUUAAGUCCCGUAACGAGCGCA
RNAcentral lists this ribosomal RNA (1094 nucleotides) under uncultured Gammaproteobacteria bacterium. RNAcentral describes it as "bacterial SSU rRNA". It matches the Rfam family "Bacterial small subunit ribosomal RNA", at positions 9 to 1100 of the family's 1533-position model. Lineage: Bacteria; Pseudomonadati; Pseudomonadota; Gammaproteobacteria. The record is from RNAcentral.